UUUCGCCUCCCUGCAGCGUGGGGCCAUGACUCACUUGCUGUGAUUCUCUGCAGCUUGAGGUCUUCCAUAAUCACAAUGUGAAGACUUCAAUAACCGGACAUAGGUAGGGGUUGUUAUAGAAAGGUGUAGAGGUAGGGUCUGUGGCCUGCUUUGUGCUGGGGGUGGGAC
This is a non-coding RNA of Chelonoidis abingdonii (Abingdon island giant tortoise), 168 nucleotides long. NCBI's taxonomy places the organism in Eukaryota, Metazoa, Chordata, Testudines, Testudinidae. The record is from RefSeq and is a predicted model, not a curated record.